This 30-nucleotide ribosomal RNA is filed under the name Vittia elimbata. RNAcentral describes it as "partial 18S ribosomal RNA". Lineage: Eukaryota; Viridiplantae; Streptophyta; Bryopsida; Hypnales; Amblystegiaceae. The record is from RNAcentral.
UCGUAAGGGUAACCUGCGGAAGGAUCAUUG